Molecule: transfer RNA, 71 nt
Filed under: Marmota marmota marmota (Alpine marmot)
Lineage: Eukaryota; Metazoa; Chordata; Mammalia; Rodentia; Sciuridae
Also listed under: 1 other name
Rfam family: tRNA
About the family: Transfer RNA (tRNA) molecules are approximately 80 nucleotides in length. Their secondary structure includes four short double-helical elements and three loops (D, anti-codon, and T loops). Further hydrogen bonds mediate the characteristic L-shaped molecular structure. tRNAs have two regions of fundamental functional importance: the anti-codon, which is responsible for specific mRNA codon recognition, and the 3' end, to which the tRNAs corresponding amino acid is attached (by aminoacyl-tRNA synthetases). tRNAs cope with the degeneracy of the genetic code in two manners: having more than one tRNA (with a specific anti-codon) for a particular amino acid; and 'wobble' base-pairing, i.e. permitting non-standard base-pairing at the 3rd anti-codon position.
Source: Rfam by way of RNAcentral
UGGGGUAUAGUUCAGGGGCAGAGCACCUCUCUGCAGGUGUGAGGCCCAGGGUUCCAUCCCCAGUACCCCAG